CCCGCUCAGAACUUAAAGGAAUUGACGGGGCCCGGCACAAGCGAGGAGCAUGUGGUUUAAUUCGAUGAUACGCGAGGAACUUACCUGGGCUCGAACGUAAGAUGACUGUAGGUGAAAGCUUACAUCUCUUCGGAGCAUUUACGAGGUGCUGCAUGGUUGUCGUCAGCUCGUGCCGUGAGGUGUCGGGUUAAGUCCCAUAACGAGCGCAACCCCUACCUUUAGUUGCCAUCAGGUUAAGCUGGGGACUCUAAAGGAACUGCCUACGCAAGUAGUGAGGAAGGCGGGGAUGACGUCAAAUCAGCACGGCCCUUACGUCCAGGGCUACACACGUGCUACAAUGGCCGAUACAGAGGGCAGCUACCUGGUGACAGGAUGCAAAUCUCCAAAGUCGGUCUCAGUUCGGAUCGGAGUCUGCAACCCGACUCCGUGAAGUUGGAUUCGCUAGUAAUCGCGCAUCAGCCAUGGCGCGGUGAAUACGUUCCCGGGCCUU
Molecule: ribosomal RNA, 490 nt
Filed under: uncultured Sphingobacteriales bacterium
Lineage: Bacteria; Pseudomonadati; Bacteroidota; Sphingobacteriia; Sphingobacteriales
Description: bacterial SSU rRNA
Rfam family: Bacterial small subunit ribosomal RNA
Source: RNAcentral